RNAcentral lists this ribosomal RNA (301 nucleotides) under uncultured bacterium. Its description in RNAcentral is "partial 16S ribosomal RNA". It matches the Rfam family "Bacterial small subunit ribosomal RNA", at positions 509 to 809 of the family's 1533-position model. The record is from RNAcentral.
CAGCCGCCGCGGUAAAACGGAGGGUGCAAGCGUUAAUCGGAAUUACUGGGCGUAAAGCGUGCGUAGGUGGUGGUUUAAGUCCGUUGUGAAAGCCCUGGGCUCAACCUGGGAAUUGCAGUGGAUACUGGGUCACUAGAGUGUGGUAGAGGAUAGUGGAAUUUCCGGUGUAGCGGUGAAAUGCGUAGAGAUCUGGAGGAAUACCGGUGGCGAAGGCGGCCCCCUGGACAAAGACUGACGCUCAGGUGCGAAAGCGUGGGGAGCAAACAGGAUUAGAUACCCCCGUAGUCCCUGUCUCUUAUAA